RNAcentral lists this ribosomal RNA (497 nucleotides) under uncultured bacterium. RNAcentral's name for it is "partial 16S ribosomal RNA". It matches the Rfam family "Bacterial small subunit ribosomal RNA", at positions 28 to 507 of the family's 1533-position model. The record is from RNAcentral.
GACGAACGCUGGCGGCGUGCCUAAUACAUGCAAGUUGAGCGAUGAAGAUUGGUGCUUGCACCAAUUUGAAGAGCAGCGAACGGGUGAGUAACGCGUGGGGAAUCCGCCUUUGAGCGGGGGACAACAUUUGGAAACGAAUGCUAAUACCGCAUAACAACUUUAAACAUAAGUUUUAAGUUUGAAAGAUGCAAUUGCAUCACUCAAAGAUGAUCCCGCGUUGUAUUAGCUAGUUGGUGAGGUAAAGGCUCACCAAGGCGAUGAUACAUAGCCGACCUGAGAGGGUGAUCGGCCACAUUGGGACUGAGACACGGCCCAAACUCCUACGGGAGGCAGCAGUAGGGAAUCUUCGGCAAUGGACGAAAGUCUGACCGAGCAACGCCGCGUGAGUGAAGAAGGUUUUCGGAUCGUAAAACUCUGUUGGUAGAGAAGGACGUUGGUGAGAGUGGAAAGCUCAUCAAGUGACGGUAACUACCCAGAAAGGGACGGCUAACUACGUG